CGACAGAUUUCGAUGCGUUUUCCGGUCAAACCACGGCGAGUUAGACGUCGUGUGAGGUACCAUUCUCUUCGUCUCUUCAAGGGCUACAACUUUUGUUUUUGUCUCGCUUGAUUUCGUUGAGUUUUGACAAAGUUAUGGCCGUUUAAAGAUUGUGCAUUUUCCGGCCGAAUUCCGGCUUUCUCUCCCAUUGGGUCCGGCGACCCACCAAAACCAAGCCCAUUGGGCCUUCCCUGCUGAGCCCAACCCUUUUGGUUGUGAGGCCUUUGGGCCAUGUGUGUGUGUGUUUUAGAUUGUGUGGGUGUGUGGGUGUGUACCCGUGUGUGUGUGUGUAUAUUUAGUAUGUGUGUGCUGUGUGAGUGUGUGAGUUUGUGUGUGUGUGUUUAAGUGUGUGUGCGUGUGUGUAUAUGCAUGCCAUGCAUGCAUGUGCAUGCCGUGCAUGUGUAUGUGUGUUUGUGGUGUGUAUGUGUUUGGGCUUAGGCCCAAACCCCAUUUCUUCACCCUAAACCCUUUUAAUCCAAAAACCUUAGGACCCUAAACCCAAAACCCAAUAAAUCCUAAUCCUAGUUAACCUAAACCUAAACCCUAAUCCAGAUGUCAAGCCUAACACCCAUUUGACCUAAUUUGACCGUUGACCCCCGGUCAACGUUGACUUUAGGGUGGACUUUUCAGGUUUUCGUCCGGAACCCUUCUUAGGGUAAUUCGACGUUCUGAAUCCGUUUCCAAUGUCCGUUUUCCCAAAUUCAAUUAUUAUAAUAGAGUUUUAUUAAUUGGACCCUUUAUGUGCUUAGGGGCAAUAUUUGUGACGUUUUCGUGGUUGCUAGUUUGCGUGGCUCUUCGGCGGCUAAGUACUGGCUUAGAAUCGAGGCAUACAAUCCCGGCAUCCAGGCACUUCCGCAUCGGCCUCUUCGAGUUCUUUUGGUGUGGGACCCAUUCCUUUGUUCAUCAAAUUUUAUAUCGUUUUUUUUUGUAUUCUAGUUAGUCACAUGCUUUGAACACGUUCCUUAAAUGCUUAUUCUUUUAUAUUUAUAAGUCUUAUUU
Non-coding RNA from Malus domestica (apple), 1038 nucleotides. NCBI's taxonomy places the organism in Eukaryota, Viridiplantae, Streptophyta, Magnoliopsida, Rosales, Rosaceae. The record is from RefSeq and is a predicted model, not a curated record.